AGCUUUGCGCAGUGGCAGUAUCAUAGCCAAUGAGGUUUAUCUGAGGCGUGAUUAUUGCUAAUUAACUUUUCCCAAAAUAAUAUUUUCUGUCGUUUGAAUGAAAUCUGUGAAAACCAGUCUUAUUUCCAAAUGC
Molecule: small nuclear RNA, 133 nt
Filed under: Canis lupus familiaris (dog)
Lineage: Eukaryota; Metazoa; Chordata; Mammalia; Carnivora; Canidae
Also listed under: 1 other name
Description: U4 spliceosomal RNA (multiple genes)
Rfam family: U4 spliceosomal RNA
About the family: U4 small nuclear RNA (U4 snRNA) is a component of the major U2-dependent spliceosome. The structure of U4 snRNA from yeast and human has been reported.
Source: RNAcentral